Molecule: ribosomal RNA, 253 nt
Filed under: uncultured bacterium
Lineage: Bacteria
Description: partial 16S ribosomal RNA
Rfam family: Bacterial small subunit ribosomal RNA
Source: RNAcentral
UACGUAGGGGGCAAGCGUUGUCCGGAUUUAUUGGGCGUAAAGAGCGUGUAGGCGGCCAGACAGGUCCGUUGUGAAAACUCGAGGCUCAACCUCGAGAUGUCGAUGGAAACCGUCUGGCUAGAGUCCGGAAGAGGAGUGUGGAAUUCCUGGUGUAGCGGUGAAAUGCGCAGAUAUCAGGAAGAACACCUAUGGCGAAGGCGGUUCUCUGGGCCUGUACUGACGCUGAGGAGCGAAAGCGUGGGGAGCGAACAGG